UCACGAGUCGAAUAAAAGGUAGUUCGCUGAAUGCAAGAGGUGUUGGUUCGAAUCCAACUCGUGAG
Molecule: transfer RNA, 65 nt
Filed under: Salix viminalis (osier)
Lineage: Eukaryota; Viridiplantae; Streptophyta; Magnoliopsida; Malpighiales; Salicaceae
Source: RNAcentral